AUUGAACGCUGGCGGCAUGCCUUACACAUGCAAGUCGAACGGCAGCACGGGUGCUUGCCCCUGGUGGCGAGUGGCGAACGGGUGAGUAAUACAUCGGAACAUGUCCUGUAGUGGGGGAUAGCCCGGCGAAAGCCGGAUUAAUACCGCAUACGAUCUACGGAUGAAAGCGGGGGACCUUCGGGCCUCGCGCUAUAGGGUUGGCCGAUGGCUGAUUAGCUAGUUGGUGGGGUAAAGGCCUACCAAGGCGACGAUCAGUAGCUGGUCUGAGAGGCCGACCAGCCACACUGGGACUGAGACACGGCCCAGACUCCUACGGGAGGCAGCAGUGGGGAAUUUUGGACAAUGGGCGAAAGCCUGAUCCAGCAAUGCCGCGUGUGUGAAGAAGGCCUUCGGGUUGUAAAGCACUUUUGUCCGGAAAGAAAUCCUUGGCCCUAAUACGGUCGGGGGAUGACGGUACCGGAAGAAUAAGCACCGGCUAACUACGUG
RNAcentral lists this ribosomal RNA (486 nucleotides) under uncultured bacterium. RNAcentral's name for it is "partial 16S ribosomal RNA". It matches the Rfam family "Bacterial small subunit ribosomal RNA", at positions 30 to 507 of the family's 1533-position model. The record is from RNAcentral.